AGUGAUGCUAUUUUUCAAAAUUGCAAAACAAUUGCUGGGUGGGCAAAUUAUAUUACAAACGAAAAAAAGCCGCAACUAAAAUUAAUAAAAAUGUUUUAAUUUUCAUGGAUAAACACACACAAUCACACCUGCCGUAAGCUAAUUUAUUUCAAAACACAAAGAGGCAAUCCACAUACAAAAACAAACAUAUGGUUAGAGGAAGUGCAGAAAUUUUUGAUGGAAAUUGUUGUUGGGUUUUUUAAGUUGUUUGUUUUUCUUUUUUGGGGAGUUUAAAAGAAUUUGAAGGAAAAGAUAUGACAAAAACAAAAACAGAUGUUUAAAGCCAAGUUUGGGGUGAUAGUUGGCCAAAAAAAAAAAUACUAAAAUAAAACCCUAAAACAAGAGCAAACAAUACAACAACAAUGUUGGUUGUUUGGGAGAAUAUGAAAACACAAUAACAGCGACUGGCCACAAACUUUUUGGGUAUAAAAGCUGCUGCAGCUGUUUGCUAUUUUUCUCAUGUGUCUUGUUUACGUCAUAAUAAAAGGACGAAAAAACGUUUUUUGCUGUCAUUUGUAAGCAACGUAUUCUUGUGAGGGUUGCCAGGUAAAUCAUUUCUUUAAAAGCAUAAACUUGUUGCAAAUAUGGGAUUGGAAAAUGUA
Lucilia sericata (common green bottle fly) is the source of this 641-nucleotide long non-coding RNA. RefSeq lists it as uncharacterized. The transcript has 3 exons. Lineage: Eukaryota; Metazoa; Arthropoda; Insecta; Diptera; Calliphoridae. The record is from RefSeq and is a predicted model, not a curated record.